UACAGAGGUCUCAAGCGUUGUUCGGAUUCAUUGGGCGUAAGGGGUGCGUAGGCGGCGCGGAAAGUUGGGUGUGAAAUCCCUCGGCUCAACCGAGGACUGCGCCCAAAACUACCGUGCUCGAGGGAGAUAGAGGUGAGCGGAACUUAGGGUGGAGCGGUGAAAUGCGUUGAUAUCCUAAGGAACACCGGUGGCGAAAGCGGCUCACUGGAUCUCUUCUGACGCUGAGGCACGAAAGCUAGGGUAGCGAACGGG
Molecule: ribosomal RNA, 252 nt
Filed under: uncultured bacterium
Lineage: Bacteria
Description: partial 16S ribosomal RNA
Rfam family: Bacterial small subunit ribosomal RNA
Source: RNAcentral